UGGGCAACCUGCCCCUCUCUCUGGGAUAACCCCCGGGGAAACCGGAGCUAAUACCGGAUACUCCGGCUGGAUCGCAUGGUCCGGCCGGGAAAGGUCCGCCGGAGAGGGAUGGGCCCGCGGCCUAUCAGCUUGUUGGUGGGGUCAUGGCUCACCAAGGCGACGACGGGUAGCUGGUCUGAGAGGACGACCAGCCACACUGGAACUGAGAUACGGUCCAGACUCCGUACGGGAGGCA
Molecule: ribosomal RNA, 235 nt
Filed under: uncultured bacterium
Lineage: Bacteria
Description: partial 16S ribosomal RNA
Rfam family: Bacterial small subunit ribosomal RNA
Source: RNAcentral